This 502-nucleotide ribosomal RNA is filed under the name uncultured Enterobacterales bacterium. RNAcentral's name for it is "bacterial SSU rRNA". It matches the Rfam family "Bacterial small subunit ribosomal RNA", at positions 30 to 519 of the family's 1533-position model. The record is from RNAcentral. Lineage: Bacteria; Pseudomonadati; Pseudomonadota; Gammaproteobacteria; Enterobacterales.
AUUGAACGCUGGCGGCAGGCCUAACACAUGCAAGUCGAACGGUAGCACAGAGGAGCUUGCUCCUUGGGUGACGAGUGGCGGACGGGUGAGUAAUGUCUGGGAAACUGCCCGAUGGAGGGGGAUAACUACUGGAAACGGUAGCUAAUACCGCAUAACGUCGCAAGACCAAAGAGGGGGACCUUCGGGCCUCUUGCCGUCGGAUGUGCCCAGAUGGGAUUAGCUAGUAGGUGGGGUAACGGCUCACCUAGGCGACGAUCCCUAGCUGGUCUGAGAGGAUGACCAGCCACACUGGAACUGAGACACGGUCCAGACUCCUACGGGAGGCAGCAGUGGGGAAUAUUGCACAAUGGGCGCAAGCCUGAUGCAACCAUGCCGCGUGUAUGAAGAAGGCCUUCGGGUUGUAAAGUACUUUCAGCGAGGAGGAAGGCGUUGUGGUUAAUAACCGCAACGAUUGACGUUACUCGCAGAAGAAGCACCGGCUAACUCCGUGCCAGCCGCCGCG